GCCCAGCCGUAAACUUUUACUUACACCUAAAUCGCCAGGGAACUACGAGCUAAGCUUAAAACCCAAAGGACUUGACGGUACCCCAUAUCCCCCUAGAGGAGCCUGUCCUAUAAUCGAUAAUCCACGUUUAACCUCACCACUUCUAGUUAAUCAGCCUGUAUACCUCCGUCGUCAGCUUACCACGUGAGCGCCAAUUAGUGAGCCCAAUGUUAUUUCACCAACACGUCAGGUCAAGGUGCAGCAAAUGAAGUGGGAAGAGAUGGGCUACACUUUCUAUAAUAGAAAAAACGAAAAACUACUUAUGAAACCUAGUUAGAAGGCGGAUUUAGAAGUAAAGUGGAAUCAGCACAUCCACUUAAACUCGGCACUGGGGUGUGU
RNAcentral lists this ribosomal RNA (378 nucleotides) under Sclerophrys steindachneri (Steindachner's toad). RNAcentral describes it as "partial 12S ribosomal RNA". It matches the Rfam family "Bacterial small subunit ribosomal RNA", at positions 794 to 1384 of the family's 1533-position model. Lineage: Eukaryota; Metazoa; Chordata; Amphibia; Anura; Bufonidae. The record is from RNAcentral.